Molecule: unclassified non-coding RNA, 774 nt
Filed under: Rhodotorula toruloides
Lineage: Eukaryota; Fungi; Basidiomycota; Microbotryomycetes; Sporidiobolales; Sporidiobolaceae
Source: RNAcentral
UGUGUUGCUACAGACGCUGUUGUUGUGCUGUGUGAGGGUGCUACAGCUUGCCAGGCGUCGUUGGAGACUGUUGCCAUCGCCCCGCUCGUUCUCUCAACAUCCUUAUCGCCUCCCGCUCACAACGAUGCGACUCUUCCAGCUUGCGAUCCUCUUGCUGGCGACGUUUGGAGCGGCUUCACCGGUGGAGUUGCGGAAACGAGCGAGCCAGCCGACGGGGUUGUCGAGCGGCAGUGCGUUGCGCCAAGGACAGGUCGACGGCAUCGGGAAGUUGUUGAACCAGUCGGCGACCAAGAGGUGCGUAACGUAAGAUUGCGACGCAUGUUGUUGAGCUAAGAAGCGUGCGCGCCCAGCUGGGAAAUCGGCACCCACCUCGAAGCCGUCCUCGAGCUGAACUACCCCUCGCUCUCGCCCUUCUCGACCUCUUCCUCCUCUUUCGCCUCGCCCACGCCGUCCGUCUCUCCCUUUCCGACCGAAAUCAUCUCCCUCGUCGCGCCCGUCCUCUCCUCCCAACCGAGCGGCCAACUCCAACUCAUCCAAGACGGUUCCUCCGCCGACCCUGCGUCCGUCGGGCCUUUCGUCAUCCUCGCGAACUUGACGCUUAACAAGGGAGGAAACGUCGGAGGCAAGAACCAGCAGCAGCUUGAGGAGGUCGCGGCGGGCCAGUUGAAGGCGCUUUUGGAGCAGACGCCGAGGAGUAGCGAUGGGGCUAUCAGUCACAGGACGGGGGAUGCCGAGCUGUGGUCUGACUUUGUCUGUGAGUGGCGUGGACGUGUC